RNAcentral lists this ribosomal RNA (913 nucleotides) under uncultured bacterium. Its description in RNAcentral is "bacterial SSU rRNA". It matches the Rfam family "Bacterial small subunit ribosomal RNA", at positions 8 to 916 of the family's 1533-position model. The record is from RNAcentral.
AGAGUUUGAUCAUGGCUCAGGACGAACGCUGGCGGCGUGCCUAACACAUGCAAGUCGAGCGGGGAUAUAUGCUGGAGCGCUUCGGUGUGAAGGGAUAUAUCCUAGCGGCGGACGGGUGAGUAACGCGUGGGGAACCUGCCCUUAAGUUCGGGAUACCAACUCGAAAGGGUUGUUAAUACCGGAUGUGCUGCAUUAGCCGCAUGGCGGAUGUAGUAAAGGGGAGACCCGCUUAAGGAUGGCCCUGCGUUCCAUUAGCUAGUUGGUGGGGUAACGGCCUACCAAGGCGACGAUGGAUAGCCGGCCUGAGAGGGCGACCGGCCACACUGGGACUGAGACACGGCCCAGACUCCUACGGGGGGCAGCAGUGGGGAAUCUUGCACAAUGGGCGGAAGCCUGAUGCAGCGACGCCGCGUGAGGGACGAAGGUCUUCGGAUCGUAAACCUCUGUCCAGAGGGAAGAAGGAAGUGACGGUACCUUUGGAGGAAGCCCCGGCUAACUACGUGCCAGCAGCCGCGGUAAUACGUAGGGGGCGAGCGUUGUCCGGAAUUAUUGGGCGUAAAGGGCGCGUAGGCGGUGACACAAGUCAGGUGAUAAAGGCACGGGCUCAACCGGUGUUAGGCACUUGAAACUGUGUUGCUAGAGUGCAGGAGAGGGGAGUGGAAUUCCAGGUGUAGCGGUGAAAUGCGUAGAUAUCUGGAAGAACACCAGUGGCGAAGGCGGCUCUCUGGACUGUAACUGACGCUGAGGCGCGAAAGCUGGGGGAGCAAACAGGAUUAGAUACCCUGGUAGUCCCAGCCGUAAACGAUGAACACUAGGUGUAGGGGGUAUCGACCCCCCCUGUGCCGGAGCUAACGCAAUAAGUGUUCCGCCUGGGGAGUACGGCCGCAAGGUUGAAACUUAAAUGAAUUGACGG